This is a long non-coding RNA of Gasterosteus aculeatus aculeatus (three-spined stickleback), 1503 nucleotides long. The record is from Ensembl. Lineage: Eukaryota; Metazoa; Chordata; Actinopteri; Perciformes; Gasterosteidae.
CAGGAUUUAAAAGGAAACAAUCAAUAGUUUCACAGUAUUUCCACUUCAGGCAGAGAGUACACAGCCCCAAGGUGUGACUCGUGAUAACCAGGACAUUCUGAUGUACCAUUUUAGAAAUUAAAACCUCUCGAAGUUCCACCUUCGUUGUUUACUGGAUGCUAGAACAUUUGACUUCCUGUUACCAGUAGAUGGCGCUAUGACUUUGAUUCAACUUUACAUCUCUUCAGGCCCAGAGUCUCAUCAAAUAUGUGCAAAUUGGAAAGAAUCUGAUCAUGUCGAGCUACAACGGUUUAGUUGUUCUUGGCGAAGGAUCAACUUUGCAGAUGCUUGCUCUCACCACCGAUUAUCGGAUUCUUAUAAUAUUCAAAGUGAAGCUUUAUUAAGGUCUUAACUCUCUGCUAAGAACUUUUGAGAGGGAUCAGAUCAGCAGAAAAGUUGCAGGUCCUUUCCAGUGCGCGAGCUUCCUCCAGCUGUGGUUUUCUCCUCUGGGGUCCAUCCAAGUCCCCGCACCAAGUAUUACCUUUGAGGAGCAUAACCUGUGAGGAGCAGGGUGUAAAAUAGGACAUUCAUCUUCCUGUUGCCACCAGGUGGCGUUAUGACUAAGGUUAUGCAUGAUCAUAUAGUUGUCUACAGGGUGUAAAGUUCAUGCUGUGUGUAAUAUAUAUAUUUAUAUAUGUAUUACACACAGAGCCUAAGGUCUCAAGGUCACACUGCGCAAAUUUGAAAAGAAUCUUUUCUUUAAUCUGUGGGAGGAGUUCGGUCAUUUACAAUUUACAACGAAAUGAGGGUGUGUUCAGGGGUUCAAUGUUUACAUAUGCUACAAUACUGGUGAGGGCAGCCAAUUCAUUCCUAAAUUCUAAAUCUUGCCAGAUUAACCACACCCCUUGCAAAAUAGACCAUAUAUUCUCAAAACGAUGAGGUAUCAACACGAUUUAGGGAUCGGGGGGGCAUUGAACCAAUAAUGAUCCACAGAAAUGUAUCUCAAUCUCACACAGCGUUUAUAUUGGAUGGAAGAAACGCAUAAAACGUUACUGAAGUGAACAUUUAAUUCAGGGCUGUUGCGGUCCUCACACAGUUAAUAGGGCUGCAUGGUAUGGCCAAAAAGACAUAUCACGGUAUUAAGAAAGAUUCUGACGGUAUCCCUGUAUAUCACGGGAUUGCUUUUUCAAAAAACACAUUAAUUCAUUGACCCCAAAAAUGACCGGGCUGCUCACUGGCCAACUUGCUCGAGUUCGCUUGUAACCGGCGAGUUAGUUUGUUAUUGUGUUAGCGAGUUAGCUUCUUGUGCCACUCGCCGGUUACCCAAACAGCUGUUCGCUUGUCAGCGUGUUAUCUUGUUUCUUUAAAACUUGAGAGCCCUGAAGAAGCUUCGGCCGCUGGGCACUCUGAUGACGUGUGAAAAUAAAUUCUGCCGCCUUCCAAAGAGCAACGUCAGUUGUUAUGCCGUAACACCGGUAUGAACGGUACGUAAGAAAUUCAUACCAUAUGGAAAUUUUAUACCGA